GUGAAUCAUCGAAUCUUUGAACGCAAAUUGCACUCUCUUUGGAGAGUAUGCCUGUUUGAGGGUCAGUAAUAAUAAAAUCGGGGUGUUGCUCUUUUGUGACACAACGGAGUUUGGGCUACCUUGACCUUCGGGUUUUUAGAGGCCUUAAAAUGAACUUUUUUUCGCACUUUUUGACGUACCAUAAUUUAUUUUAUCGUCUAUUCUGGUGCCCAUUUUCUA
This 219-nucleotide unclassified non-coding RNA is filed under the name Glomeraceae sp. Its description in RNAcentral is "partial contains 5.8S ribosomal RNA and internal transcribed spacer 2". The stretch from base 1 to 65 matches the Rfam family "5.8S ribosomal RNA", at positions 84 to 154 of the family's 154-position model. Lineage: Eukaryota; Fungi; Glomeromycota; Glomeromycetes; Glomerales; Glomeraceae. The record is from RNAcentral.